This 459-nucleotide ribosomal RNA is filed under the name uncultured archaeon. Its description in RNAcentral is "bacterial SSU rRNA". It matches the Rfam family "Bacterial small subunit ribosomal RNA", at positions 393 to 868 of the family's 1533-position model. The record is from RNAcentral.
GAUGCCGCGUGAGUGAAGAAGGCCUUUGGGUUGUAAAGCUCUUUUGUAGGGGAAGAUAAUGACUGUACCCUAAGAAUAAGGUCCGGCUAACUUCGUGCCAGCAGCCGCGGUAAUACGAAGGGACCUAGCGUAGUUCGGAAUUACUGGGCGUAAAGCGCGCGUAGGCCGUUGAGUUAGUUAAUUGUGAAAUCCCAAAGCUUAACUUUGGAACUGCAAUUAAAACUGCUCGACUAGAGUUUGAUAGAGGAAAGCGGAAUACAUAGUGUAGAGGUGAAAUUCGUAGAUAUUAUGUAGAACACCAGUUGCGAAGGCGGCUUUCUGGGUCAAACACUGACGCUGAGGUGCGAAGGUAUGGGUAGCAAUCGAGGAUUAGAUACCCUCGUAGUCCAUACCAUAAACGAUGAUUGCUAGAUGUAGGACAUUUACUAUUCCGUAUCGGCAGAUAACGCAUUAAGCAAU